CCCUUAGAUGUUCUGGGCUGCACGCGCGCUACACUGAAGCGUUCAACGAGUAUUCACCUUGCCCGGGAGGGUUGGGUAAUCUUUUGAAAACGCUUCGUGAUGGGGAUAGAUUAUUGCAAUUAUUAAUCUUCAACGAGGAAUUCCUAGUAAGCGCGAGUCAUCAGCUCGUGCUGAUUACGUCCCUGCCCUUUGUACACACCGCCCGUCGCUCCUACCGAUUGAGCGAUCCGGUGAAUAAUUCGGACCAGGAUUCGCAUGAGUUCGCUCACGCAAAUCCCGGAAAGUCUAGUGAGCCUUAUCACUUAGAGGAAGGAGAAGUCGUAACA
Molecule: ribosomal RNA, 326 nt
Filed under: uncultured eukaryote
Lineage: Eukaryota
Description: partial 18S ribosomal RNA
Rfam family: Eukaryotic small subunit ribosomal RNA
Source: RNAcentral